Molecule: long non-coding RNA, 268 nt
Filed under: Lathyrus oleraceus (garden pea)
Lineage: Eukaryota; Viridiplantae; Streptophyta; Magnoliopsida; Fabales; Fabaceae
Description: Pisum sativum (pea) long non-coding RNA (PSAT_LNC003269)
Source: RNAcentral
AAAAAACUAAAGAGUAAAUAAUAAAAAAACGGUUAAAAAAAAGAAAAGAAACAGGUUAUACAUUUGGUUCGAGAACUUGAAUGUGAGUUGGAGGUUGGAUGAAUCUUGUUUUUUAUUAUGCAUGAGAUGGGUUUAUUCGAAUGAGUUGUGACGGAGGUAAUAUGCAUCACAUUUUUUUCUCUUAUGUUCUAUUUUCAUCAAUGAGAGAGGGGAAAUAUUGUUGUGUGAUUGAGAUAUGUGACUUUCGAUGUCACCCAUGAAAAAUGAC